Molecule: long non-coding RNA, 492 nt
Organism: Ictalurus punctatus (channel catfish)
Lineage: Eukaryota; Metazoa; Chordata; Actinopteri; Siluriformes; Ictaluridae
Source: Ensembl
CUCUCUCUCAUGGUUCAGAGACACACACUGCAACACACUUUACUCUUAACCACACACAGGUGUAGCCACUCAUUCAUUACCCGCUCGUUCUCUGUGACACGUCUUCCCAUUUACAGCCAGCACUUGACCACAACUACACUUCCACAGUUGCAACCAUACGGGUCACGGGGGAACCUGGAGUCUAUCCCAGGGAGCAUCGGGCACGAGGCGGGGUACACCCUGGACAGGGUGUCAGUCCAUCGCAGGGCACAAUCACAUAUUAUGGACACUUUGGACAUGCCAAUCAGCCUACCAUGCAUGUCUUUGGACUGGAGGAGGAAACCGGAGUACCCGGAGGAAACCCCCACAGCACGGGGAGAACAUGCAAACUCCACACACACAGGGCCACGGUGGGAAUCGAACCCCCGACCCUGGAGGUGUGAGGCGAACGUGCUGACCACUAAGACACCUAUGUGCGAGAGAUUUAAUGUAAAGUCUUCACGUGAGAAACGC